This is a non-coding RNA of Pelobates cultripes (western spadefoot toad), 292 nucleotides long. The record is from the annotation of a GenBank genome assembly. NCBI's taxonomy places the organism in Eukaryota, Metazoa, Chordata, Amphibia, Anura, Pelobatidae.
AAAUGGGUUAAAAAUAUCAAACAUGGUUUUAUGGUGUAUGGAAGGAUGGCACCAGUGGACUCCAGAUACUAUAUCCACUUAAAUGAGAUGAAGCAGUUAUGGUGUCCCUUUUAUUGCCCUGUUGCUAACCAAAAGCACAGAGGAAGUAUAUUUAAACACGCACUUUUCUCAACUAUAACUGUCCUCCUGACACAGAGAUGGUCUGUCGGGUGAUCAGUAGAUUUUACAAGCCUGAAAGCUGGUGUGCAAUCAUCUAAUGUCAAUAUUUUCAUGCAGUGAACAUGACUUCUUG